UUUUGCUGAAGGAGAUUUUGCAGUACUAUGCCACAAUCAAUUCAGAGAAGUUUAGUUUGAGCAGUGCUUUGGGGUGUGAAGAAGGCUUGGAGUCCAUUCAUAUAGAAGCUUCAUGAAAGCAGGGCCCAGGCAAGAGGGUCUCAACCAGGAGCAAUUUUGCUGUUUCUCUCCAGAGGACACUUGGCAAUGUCUGGGGACAGUUUUGGUUGUCACAACUGGAGACAGGGUGAUGCUAUUUGGCAUCUUGUGGGAGGAAGGCAAGGAUGCUGCUAAGCAUGCCACAAAGCACAGGACAGCUGCCCACAACAAAGGAUGAUUUGCCUGAAAUGUCAAUGUGAAGAGGCUGACAAUCUCUAGUCUAAGGUGUAUCAGUAGUACCUAAAAUAACGCCUGGGGCCAGGAGCGGUGGCUCACGCCUAUAAUCCCAACACUCUGGGAGGCCAAGGCAGGUGGAUCACCUGAGGUCAGGAGUUCGAGACCAGCCUGACCAACAUGAAGAAACCCCGUCUCUACUAAAAAUACAAAAUUAGCCGGACAUGGUGGCACAUGGCUGUAAUCCCAGCUACUCGGGAGGCUGAGGCUGGGGAAUCGCUUGAACCCGGGAGGUGAAGGUUGCAGUGAGCCAAGAUGAUGCCAUUACACUCCAGCCUGGGCAGCAAGAGCGAAACUCCACCUCAAAAAACAAAACCAACAAACAAAAACAAUGCCUGGAA
Molecule: long non-coding RNA, 713 nt
Filed under: Pan troglodytes (chimpanzee)
Lineage: Eukaryota; Metazoa; Chordata; Mammalia; Primates; Hominidae
Description: long non-coding RNA NONPTRT007737
Source: RNAcentral